AACGAACGCUGGCGGCAGGCCUAACACAUGCAAGUCGAGCGGACCUUUCGGGGUCAGCGGCGGACGGGUGAGUAACGCGUGGGAAUAUGCCCUUCUCUACGGAAUAGUCCUGGGAAACUGGGGGUAAUACCGUAUACGCCCUUUGGGGGAAAGAUUUAUCGGGGAAGGAUUAGCCCGCGUUGGAUUAGGUAGUUGGUGGGGUAAUGGCCUACCAAGCCGACGAUCCAUAGCUGGUUUGAGAGGAUGAUCAGCCACACUGGGACUGAGACACGGCCCAGACUCCUAUGGGAGGCAGCAGUGGGGAAUCUUAGACAAUGGGGGCAACCCUGAUCUAGCCAUGCCGCGUGAGUGAUGAAGGCCUUAGGGUUGUAAAGCUCUUUCAGCUGGGAAGAUAAUGACGGUACCAGCAGAAGAAGCCCCGGCUAACUCCGUG
RNAcentral lists this ribosomal RNA (433 nucleotides) under uncultured bacterium. RNAcentral's name for it is "partial 16S ribosomal RNA". It matches the Rfam family "Bacterial small subunit ribosomal RNA", at positions 29 to 507 of the family's 1533-position model. The record is from RNAcentral.